AUUGAACGCUGGCGGCAGGCUUAACACAUGCAAGUCGAACGGAACCUUCGGGUUUAGUGGCGAACGGGUGAGUAAUACCUAGGAAUCUGCCUAUUAGUGGGGGAUAACGGCUCGAAAGGGUCGCUAAUACCGCAUACGUCCUACGGGAGAAAGAGGGGGAUCUUCGGACCUCUUGCUAAUAGAUGAGCCUAGGCCGGAUUAGCUAGUUGGUAGGGUAAAGGCCUACCAAGGCGACGAUCCGUAGCUGGUCUGAGAGGAUGAUCAGCCACACUGGAACUGAGACACGGUCCAGACUCCUACGGGAGGCAGCAGUGGGGAAUAUUGGACAAUGGGGGCAACCCUGAUCCAGCCAUGCCGCGUGUGUGAAGAAGGCCUGG
This 377-nucleotide ribosomal RNA is filed under the name uncultured bacterium. Its description in RNAcentral is "bacterial SSU rRNA". It matches the Rfam family "Bacterial small subunit ribosomal RNA", at positions 30 to 419 of the family's 1533-position model. The record is from RNAcentral.